UGUGCCUAAUACAUGCAAGCUCGUACGCACUGGCCCAACUGAUUGAUGGUGCUUGCACCUGAUUGACGAUGGAUUACCAGUGAGUGGCGGACGGGUGAGUAACACGUAGGUAACCUGCCCCGGAGCGGGGGAUAACAUUUGGAGACAGAUGCUAAUACCGCAUAACAACAAAAGCCACAUGGCUUUUGUUUGAAAGAUGGCUUUGGCUAUCACUCUGGGAUGGACCUGCGGUGCAUUAGCUAGUUGGUAAGGUAACGGCUUACCAAGGCGAUGAUGCAUAGCCGAGUUGAGAGACUGAUCGGCCACAAUGGAACUGAGACACGGUCCAUACUCCUACGGGAGGCAGCAGUAGGGAAUCUUCCACAAUGGGCGCAAGCCUGAUGGAGCAACACCGCGUGAGUGAAGAAGGGUUUCGGCUCGUAAAAGCUCUGUU
Molecule: ribosomal RNA, 433 nt
Filed under: uncultured bacterium
Lineage: Bacteria
Description: bacterial SSU rRNA
Rfam family: Bacterial small subunit ribosomal RNA
Source: RNAcentral